AUUGAACGCUAGCGGCAUGCCUUACACAUGCAAGUCGAACGGAGUGGCGAACGGGUGAGUAAUGUAUCGGAACGUGCCCGGUAGUGGGGGAUAACUACCCGAAAGCGGAGCUAAUACCGCAUACUAUCAGAGCAGCCUAUAUCGGAUUAGCUAGUUGGUGGGGUAACGGCUUACCAAGGCGACGAUCCGUAACUGGUUUGAGAGGAUGACCAGCCACACUGGGACUGAGACACGGCCCAGACUCAUACGGGAGGCAGCAGUGGGGAAUUUUGGACAAUGGGCGAAACCCUGAUCCAGCCAUCCCGCGUGUGUGAUGAAGGUCUUCGGGUUGUAAAGCACUGUUGGCAGGGAAGCGGUACCUGCAGAAUAAGCACCGGCUAACUACGUGCCAGCAGCCGCGGUAAUAC
Molecule: ribosomal RNA, 407 nt
Filed under: uncultured bacterium
Lineage: Bacteria
Description: partial 16S ribosomal RNA
Rfam family: Bacterial small subunit ribosomal RNA
Source: RNAcentral